This 254-nucleotide ribosomal RNA is filed under the name uncultured bacterium. Its description in RNAcentral is "partial 16S ribosomal RNA". It matches the Rfam family "Bacterial small subunit ribosomal RNA", at positions 524 to 777 of the family's 1533-position model. The record is from RNAcentral.
UACGUAGGGGGCUAGCGUUGUUCGGAAUUACUGGGCGUAAAGCGUGCGCAGGCGGCUUCUCAAGUCAGGGGUGAAAGCCCAGAGCUCAACUCUGGAAUUGCCUUUGAGACUGAGUGGCUUGAGUACGAGAGAGGUGAGUGGAAUUCCCAGUGUAGAGGUGAAAUUCGUAGAUAUUCGGAAGAACACCAGUGGCGAAGGCGACUCACUGGACACAUAUUGACGCUGAGGUGCGAAAGCGUGGGGAGCAAACAGGG